Molecule: transfer RNA, 62 nt
Filed under: Neoscona multiplicans
Lineage: Eukaryota; Metazoa; Arthropoda; Arachnida; Araneae; Araneidae
Description: tRNA-Val
Source: RNAcentral
AACUUUAAAGCUAUUUAGCAUUUCACUUACACUGAAAAGAUAAAAACAUCUUUAUAAAUUUU